This is a long non-coding RNA of Oncorhynchus nerka (sockeye salmon), 1132 nucleotides long. RefSeq lists it as uncharacterized. Lineage: Eukaryota; Metazoa; Chordata; Actinopteri; Salmoniformes; Salmonidae. The transcript has 2 exons. The record is from RefSeq and is a predicted model, not a curated record.
AGUGUAUGUUAGGAUGAAGUGUGAAUUCAUGCCAGGAAUAAUAAGUGUGAAGUUUGAUUUCCUCCCUUCUGUAAUAAGCAGCCAAUGAGUUCUCACUGAAGGGGAUAAUUCUCACUGAAACUACUGAAUAAAGCCGCCAGUUAAAAUCAUGGAACGGUUGUGCUUAAAUCCGCUCUUUUGCUCCCCGUUUACAUGGCUAAUAAUCUCCAAACUGCUCUAAACGGUGUUGUUUGUGUGAAUAUUGUUUUCCAUAAAGUUAAUAACCCCCCCUAAAACGAAAUAUGAAAUGACCUCUUCCCCUAUCUUUAAAGCGUGCGAUACAUUUUUAAAACCAGUGAUUUAAUUCAAAAUAUUUAGUACCUACAUUUUAACACAUGUUAUAAUUCCAAAUUAUGUGUCCGCUGUGCGGGGAAAAUGAUAAUACAAGCGGAACUACGUAGCUAAUACUGUUGUAACUGGGGAUCCUUAUUGUAGCAACACACUUUUGUAGGGAAGGCAAUCCUGCGCUGCGUUAGCUAAAUUUUCAUGUCAUCGGGUGUAGUUCAUAAAGGUUGAAGAGUGUAUGUUAGGAUGAAGUGUGAAUUCAUGCCCGGAAUAAUAAGUGUGAAGUUUGAUUUCCUCCCUUCUGUAAUAAGCAGCCAAUGAGGUAUUUUUUCCUUUAUUCAUGUGUUUAAUCUGAACCCCUUAUAACGCCGGUUAAACUGUUAUGUAUGUAAGCACUUCAGAGUUAUACCAAGCUAAUAAGUAACUACUAAGAUAAUGUUGUAAGAGUGUGCUUAACUGUAUUUUUAAUUUACUUUAUAGUUCUCACUGAAGGGGAUAAUUCUCACUGAAACUACUGAAUAAAGCCGCCAGUUAAAAUCAUUGAACGGUUGUGCUCGUGGUUACUGAAGGGAGCUAUGCCCACAUCAUUAAUGAAUAAGAUGUGUGGAAAACUGUUUAGCCAUAGUUAAAGGCCUUUCAUAAAGAGCCUGUCAUGAUUGCAUGUCCCUUAUGUUUAACACGUAUUGCUUGUUACAGAAUACUACUGUUGUACAUUUAAUAUCCCCUAGCAGAUUUCGUUGCCUUUGCACAAAUUCUGUCAUGUUACUGUGGUCUUUUUAAAAGUCAAUAAAAAUGUGUGUAAAGUGGC